This 97-nucleotide signal recognition particle RNA is filed under the name bacterium. Its description in RNAcentral is "signal recognition particle sRNA small type". It matches the Rfam family "Bacterial small signal recognition particle RNA". Rfam says of the family: The signal recognition particle (SRP) is a universally conserved ribonucleoprotein involved in the co-translational targeting of proteins to membranes. Archaeal SRP consists of a 7S RNA and homologues of the eukaryotic SRP19 and SRP54 proteins. RNAcentral also lists the same sequence under 1 other name. The record is from RNAcentral.
CCCAGGUCCCGAAGGGCGGCAGCCUUCUAACUCCGUCAGGACCCCGAAGGUAGCAGCGGCAUGAGGUGUCUGACGUCGCUUCGUCAGGCCUGGGGCA